AGGGAGAGAGACAGAGUGAGAGAGAAAGAUGGAGAGAGGAGAGUAAGAGAGGACAGUGGGGGGAGGGAAAGUCGCCGCCGUGCAGGGCUUUAUCACACAGAUUGCUGGAGACAAGCUGUGGAACUUCCCUGUAAGGGAGCUAUGCACCACUACGGAGGAAGGAAACGAAGGAAGAAGAAAAAAACAGCAGCCAGCGACUGUGGAGGUUAUUCACAGAAAAGAGUAGAUGUAGAGGGAGGUAAUGCAGAGAAUUUCACGUCAACUUUCCAGUCUGCUUACAUAUCGGCGAGAGGGAGGCACUGCAGACCAACCAAUCAGCUAAGAUUGGACUCCUACAUUAUCUUCAGUUCCAGCGCACAUCCUCUCAGGCUUCGUGAGUCUAUCUUGAUACCAGAGUGCUGAACAGCACUGCCGCUGUGAAAGGGACAUCCAGACCAACAUCCCCCCACCAAAUGGGUGGCAAAGCCUUGUGAAUGACAAGCAAUUCAGCCGUGGGGCAUUGAAGCCAGGGAAGAGGCGAGUUUCUCUCAGUGAGCCGUUUCGGGGGGCAGCAGCGUGAUUCAGAGUUGAUGUGCUGAAGACGAGGGCAUCUGAACGGCAAGAGUGCUGGGUCACCUCCGAGGUAGGACGCUGACUCAAGUCCGCCUGCCCCCCCCAUGAUACUCAUCUCUCGAGUGACGCCAUUGUGGGGGCUUGGCAUGGCAGAACAGACUGGGGGAUGCAUUUUCUAUACUCUUGUUCUCCUCACCUGGACCAUUACCACACAUGCACACAGAACAGAAGUGAACUGUGAAAUAUCCCAUUGAAUAUACACCUCCAUUUACAUGGGCUUUGUUAAAUGGAAUAUCGACCUGUAAUCACAUGUUAAAACAGAAAAUACUCCCGCAAGAUGCAAAAGCAGAAAAAGCUGCUCCAAACAAUGUGUAAGAGAGCAAGAAAUCUAAAUCAGAGGCAGAAGAGCACAUUCUGUAAUAACUCAGUGAUAUGAGUUGUGCACCUCAAGGGUAAGCCAUCUGCCUGCCAAAAACAAAGGCAGUACACCAUGAUCCACCCCAGCGGCAGCAGGCCAGCAGGCAAGAACCGGCUUAUGUAACAAGGCAGAGCAGAGGGGCUGCCUGGCGGACAUGGGCCAGCCCGACCAUGUGGGAACGUGGCAGAUGCCCUUCACUUCAAUCUAGUAGGAUUGUCUGGAGUGGGGACUGAGCAUGUGUUCUGCAGGUUCACAAGCACUGGGAAGGAAGGAUGGCGUGUGUUACGAGACUGCAACAGCGCCCAUCUGUCAAGCCAUCAGUGUGAGCCAGUGGGGUACAUCCUCUUCAGCUGCUCUCCUGAAAGAGAAACACCCACUACCCAUAAGUCCUCUGCCAGUCACCCCUAGAGGCCUUCUUACUGUUCUCCAGCUGCAGGGAACAACUACCCAUCUCAACUCCACAAACAUCCUCAAUCAUAUCCACACUAUACAAUCAUGAACAGGGCAUCCAGCAAACACCUAGACGUUAUGGAACAGUCAUGCAGUGCAUGGUGUUGCAGAGAUCACUAUGUAAACCUCAAAACUACAAGUACGUAACCACAUGUCCCAGGGCUGCUGUGCUGAGAGAGAUGGGCCAUUUCAGCUAUUCAAAGAACCACAGGGUGUAGUAAUGGACACAGCAAACAGCAACCAUUAAUACAACUCCUGCAGGGCAUGCCUGGAAAAACUUGAGUUGUUCCACCUCACAGGCAGGGUUAGACACAACAGCCUUCAGUGAGUUCUCACUGAGACACUGGGGAGGAGGGACUUGCACCUCAUCAUGGCUACUCCCCAUGACUGACAGCUCUGCAUGACUCACUGACCUCGGGGUCCCCAGCUCUGACAGCUCAGCCACUCACAAAGUUGCCUAGGUCAAACUGCCAUC
Molecule: long non-coding RNA, 1895 nt
Organism: Scleropages formosus (Asian bonytongue)
Lineage: Eukaryota; Metazoa; Chordata; Actinopteri; Osteoglossiformes; Osteoglossidae
Exons: 3
Source: RefSeq, a predicted model, not a curated record